This 448-nucleotide ribosomal RNA is filed under the name uncultured bacterium. Its description in RNAcentral is "bacterial SSU rRNA". It matches the Rfam family "Bacterial small subunit ribosomal RNA", at positions 329 to 793 of the family's 1533-position model. The record is from RNAcentral.
UUCCAGACUCCUACGGGAGGCAGCAGUGGGGGAUAUUGCACAAUGGGGGGAACCCUGAUGCAGCGACGCCGCGUGGGUGAAGGAGCGUUUCGGCGCGUAAAGCCCUAUCGGCAGGGAAGAAGGAGGACGGUACCUGACUAAGAAGCCCCGGCUAACUACGUGCCAGCAGCCGCGGUAAUACGUAGGGGGCAAGCGUUAUCCGGAUUUACUGGGUGUAAAGGGAGCGUAGACGGCUAAUCAAGUCAGAAGUGAAAACCCAGGGCUCAACCUUGGGAGUGCUUUUGAAACUGAGUAGCUAGAGUGCAGGAGAGGUAAGCGGAAUUCCUAGCGUAGCGGUGAAAUGCGUAGAUAUUAGGAGGAACACCAGUGGCGAAGGCGGCUUACUGGACUGUAACUGACGUUGAGGCUCGAAAGCGUGGGGAGCAAACAGGAUUAGAUACCCUCGUAC